This 422-nucleotide ribosomal RNA is filed under the name uncultured bacterium. Its description in RNAcentral is "partial 16S ribosomal RNA". It matches the Rfam family "Bacterial small subunit ribosomal RNA", at positions 360 to 774 of the family's 1533-position model. The record is from RNAcentral.
AAUAUUGGACAAUGGGGGCAACCCUGAUCCAGCCUUGCCGCGUGAGUGAAGAAGGUAUUCGGAUUGUAAAGCACUUUAAGCUGGGAGGAAGGGCUUUAGGUUAAUACACUGAAGUUUUGACGUUACCAACAGUAUAAGCAACGGCUAACUCUGUGCCAGCAGCCGCGGUAAUACAGAGGGUGCAAGCGUUAAUCGGAAUUACUGGGCGUAAAGCGCGGGUAGGUGGUUCAGUAAGAUGGGUGUGAAGUCCCCGGGCUUAACCUGGGAACUGCUUUCAUAACUGCUAAGCUAGAGUACGGUAGAGGGUAGUGAAAUUUCCUGUGUAGCGGUGAAAUGCGUAGAUAUAGGAAGGAACACCGGUGGCGAAGGCGACUACCUGGACUGAUACUGACACUGAGGUGCGAAAGCGUGGGGAGCAAACA